Molecule: ribosomal RNA, 253 nt
Filed under: uncultured bacterium
Lineage: Bacteria
Description: partial 16S ribosomal RNA
Rfam family: Bacterial small subunit ribosomal RNA
Source: RNAcentral
UACGGAGGGUGCAAGCGUUGUUCGGAAUUAUUGGGCGUAAAGGGCGUGUAGGCGGUUUUCUAAGUCUGAUGUGAAAGCCCCGGGCUCAACCUGGGAAGUGCAUUGGAAACUGGGAGACUUGAGUACGGGAGAGGGCAGUGGAAUUCCUGGUGUAGGAGUGAAAUCCGUAGAUAUCAGGAGGAACACCGGUGGCGAAGGCGGCUGCCUGGACCGAUACUGACGCUGAGACGCGAAAGCGUGGGGAGCAAACAGG